CUUCAUCCUCACUCCCCCAUUCAGGUGCUGUUCGACAAGUGAUGGCGUGGCUCCCGUCAGAAAGUAGGUGGGGAAACCCAGAAGGGUAGGGAAAAAACAGGCUCUGGAGGGAAGAAGAAAUAAAAUUACACCCUACAGCGUGUGGUGCGUUUUUGUGAGAAAUCUCACACUGGUCCCCACAGGGGUGGUACUGUCUACACUGCCAGCAACAGUGUAGACGAGUCCCUGCCGUAAAUCCACGUGCCAGGCCCUGCUCACCCUGCUGCCCUCAUUCACCUCUGCUCACUCUGCAGACACCGUGGAGGCCUCACGGGGCCCUGUGUGCACUGUGGGCCUCCCUCCCCUGCUGUAACUUGGGAGCGGAACAGAGAGCCCUGGGAGCCUGAGCUCUGACAGCCUUCUCCUGGGAGCCUGACCUCGGGUCACACUGACAGUCACUCAGCCCAGGCGGGACACGCUCCCCUCGGGUUGGCAGAAGCCACUGCUCCUCCUGGCAAGGUCACUGGGCUUCCCACAUCACCGGAGUCCAGGUCAGUGCCCACCUGCCCUUUCCUUUGGGCAGGAGCAGAGUCCAAGAAAACUGGCCACUGUUGGAAAGUCACUAUUUUUUUCGGAUUUUUAAAACAGCAAUACAUAGGUUUUGUAGAAUUCAAAAUACAGGACACUGGAAAGUGUAAAUAAUUUUCACUUCUUCAUUCUCACCAUGCAGGUAAUUUAUAUAACGUUAUGUAUAAAUAGCCUUCCAGUUGUUUAUGUAUAUAGAUAUUUUUAAUCAUCAUAAAUAUUCCUACUAACAAUAUUCUUCUAUUUGUCCCUAGGUGACUAAAAAAAUCAGUAACAUGUUUCAUGUAGUUCUCCAUCAUUUUUCUUUUUUGGUACCGGGGAUUGAACUCGGGUCCUUGCACUUGCGAGGCAGGCAGCAGAACCACUGAGCUAAAUCCCCAGCCCUCCCCGUCAUUUUUCUUUCAGUACUGAGGACUGAACUCAGGGCCCUCACACUGAGUCACACCCCACCCCCCAGCCCUUUUUUUUGUUUUUUAUUUUCCCAAGUUGCUAAUUGGCCCAGGCUGGGCUUGAACUUGCAACCCUCCUGCCUUAGCCUCCCCAAAUUCUGGGAUUGUAGGCAGACACCACCACACCUGGCCAUCAGUCAUGUUUGACUGCUGUAUUGUAGUCUGGGGGUGGGGCUUGAAAGGCCCACAUAGAAGACACCUGAGGCUUUGUGGCUACACGGUCUGUCACAGCCCCCUCCAGGAACCUCCCUCCCCACAGGGCGGGCUCAAGCUGCAGGUGUCACCUUUGGAGCCAGAGUUGGAGAAAGUCUAUUCUGUUGCUGCUUGGCCUUUCCCAGGGUCAAGGGUAAGCCACCCUUGCCAUUGUCCAGGAAUAUUCCUCGUGUGUCGAGCAGGCUUUUCCCCCGGCUUUUCUAUGAGGACCAACGCUGUGGAGAUUCACCUUCGACUCCUCCAGCGAGCCUGUUCCCCAUGCCAUGGACUCCAUGUCUGGAAGUGAACCCUCCCCAGCCCGGUCACCUCCGCCCAGCCCUCCUGUGCUGAGAAUCGGGCUCUUGUCUGGACUGCAGAUAGGGGAGUCCUAAGACGUUUGUCCUUUCGUCCUGGCUCGUUCUGCUCAGCAGUGUCUGCAGGUCCAUCCACAUGUGUGUGUGUGUGUGUGUGUGUGUGUGUGUGUGUGUGUGUGUGUGAGAAAUACACUUCAUUUGACUUUCCGUCCAUCCGCUGAUGAGCACUAAGGUGGUUUCUCACAGCUUCGUGAGAACAAUGGAAUCUGAGGAGCUGACUCUGGGUUUCGCCUCACCGGGGACAUGGGGAGUGCAUUGCUGAGCCAGGUGACAGUCGUGGUGUGACUCUCCAAGGAAGCUCCAAACUUUCGCACAGCAUCUGGGCCAGGAGGAAGCGGCCCCAGUGCCCGAGGCUCCUGCUCCUGUCUUCCAGAAUGACCCGUGGCCAGCUGUCCGAGGAGGACAAGGUAAUGCUUCUGCCAAAACGACCAUCCGUGGACUCACAGAAUGCUUCAUCCACCAUCAUGGAAUUCCUCACAACUUUGCCUCUGACCAAGGAGCACAUUUUACAGCAAAGAGUUUGGGCAGAAUUGUUUCUGUAUUUCUCGGGAUGGAACCUAGCAACUCAUGCAUGCCAGGCGGGCAUCUACCGCUGAGCUGCACCAGCUGGGCAGUUUCAUGUAAGCAGCUCCGGCAGCGUGUUUGGUUUCUUCUUUCGUGUAGCGGAACAACUGUUAACACCUGUUUCUGCUUUUGCGCAUCAAUCUUUUCUCUCAUUUUGUUUUGUUUUUUUUUGAGAUAGGGUCUUGCUCUGUAUUCCAGGAGGAUCCUGUCAAGUUCAAGGCCAGCCUGGGGCACACAGCAAAGCCCUGUCUCAGAAAAAAAGUGCUUGAAGAACAUAACUUGUGGUUUUAACAAGUACUCUGAAACUAAAUAAAUUUAAGACCACCUUUUGAAAAAUAAAAGAAACAGUACUACCAGUUUUGAAAAGGCUGUUAGUGUCACUGUGGUUUAUUGGUAAAUACAAAGUAUAGGCUCUUGCAGGUUUGGUUUUUUUUAAAAGCAAAACGAAAAAGAUUAAAAACCAAGUACACAUAUCCUCUUUCAAAUAGAAAUGUAAAUUAGUUUUAACAUUUAGGCACUUAAAAUGUAAAUGUAAGACAGCACUGCAAAAGUAUAAACUAGUUAGACCCCUAGUUUCCUCCUGAAAUGUCUUCCCAGAAGCAAAAGCACAAGCAAGGACACUAUAGUGCUAAACAAGGGUAAUUUCCUUUAACAACAAUAACCUGAAUGCAAGGUGCUGUGGGCAGGAGGAAAGGAGUUUCGGAAAUGUACAUAUUUGGUUAAAAGGUAAGCAUUUAAUAAAACUAUUACAAUAACAUACAGCACAUAUCUUAAUGAAAAUAUAUGUCAGGAAAAUAAUGAAUCCUAAACUUAAAAUUUUACUUCAUAACAAGGCACUUAACACAUUGAAACAGUACAGUAAGUUUCCAAAACAAAGUAAUUGCCCCCGGCCCGCUAACUUUGUGACAAUAUUUCUUUUGUGAAUAUGCUGUACCCCAGCCGUAUGUUCUGGAUCCAUUAUCGCAGAGGAGGUAAAUUACAUAGUGAGUUCCAACUUGGAAGCAAGACUGGCUUAUGUGUACAGCUUCUUCUAAAGGGCAAUUAAAAAUAAUUCCAUAGUAAAGUGCUCUUCUCCUUAAUGAUUCACUUAGGACACAAAGUUAGAUUAAUGAAUAAUAAAACAAACCUGGACUUAUAAGGUGUCUACCUGUAUAAAAACUCCUCUUUGGGUACAUUUGACACGAUUUUCAGUGUCUGGAUAUUGAAGACAAGAGCACUUCAUAAUAAAGGAAAUAUUUUUACCAGUGGAGUCAAAGGAGUUAAAUUAUUGCAACAUAAUGACAUUAAAAGCAAAAAUACCAGCAGCUCUUUAUACAAACAGAAUAUGUGGCAUAUAAAUUAUAAUCUGCUUGAUUUAAACAUGUAAACUCAUUAAGAAAUUCCUCCUCACACCUCUUUUACACUAUAGAAGUGAGGGUGUUAAGACCAGCUUCAAAUCUUUAAUCAGUUUACAGUACAAAACAAAAAUUAUGCCAAAAGAAAAAAGAAAUGUUCAACAUAUUCAAGGAACAAGAUGUGAAUUUUCGGUUUAAAAACAAAGUCUAUGACGUCUAGCAUGUAAAUUAAAAAAAAAAAAAGUAAGAAAGACAGCUGGCAGGGAUUCCCAGCAAACAGGUGUCGGUGGGCAUAAGGAGGCAUCAAUUAUUGAGACCCUGAGAGGUAACCACGGUAGGCACGUUUUCCUUCAUCGAACGGAUAAAAGGCCAGAAUCACAAGUCACUACCAUCCGAGAACAUUUCCCCUUUGAGAAGGGUUUAAAAUGUCUUUAAAAUAAUUCCUUCCCCAG
Molecule: long non-coding RNA, 3929 nt
Organism: Heterocephalus glaber (naked mole-rat)
Lineage: Eukaryota; Metazoa; Chordata; Mammalia; Rodentia; Bathyergidae
Source: Ensembl